RNAcentral lists this ribosomal RNA (468 nucleotides) under uncultured bacterium. RNAcentral describes it as "partial 16S ribosomal RNA". It matches the Rfam family "Bacterial small subunit ribosomal RNA", at positions 28 to 507 of the family's 1533-position model. The record is from RNAcentral.
GACGAACGCUGGCGGCGUGCUUAACACAUGCAAGUCGAACGGAAAGGCCCUGCUUUUGUGGGGUGCUCGAGUGGCGAACGGGUGAGUAACACGUGAGUAACCUGCCCUUGACUUUGGGAUAACUUCAGGAAACUGGGGCUAAUACCGGAUAGGAGCUCCUGCUGCAUGGUGGGGGUUGGAAAUUUUCGGCGGUUGGGGAUGGACUCGCGGCUUAUCAGCUUGUUGGUGGGGUAGUGGCUUACCAAGGCUUUGACGGGUAGCCGGCCUGGGAGGGUGACCGGCCACAUUGGGACUGAGAUACGGCCCAGACUCCUACGGGAGGCAGCAGUGGGGAAUAUUGCACAAUGGGCGGAAGCCUGAUGCAGCGACGCCGCGUGCGGGAUGACGGCCUUCGGGUUGUAAACCGCUUUCGCCUGUGACGAAGCGUGAGUGACGGUAAUGGGUAAAGAAGCACCGGCUAACUACGUG